CCUACGGGUGGCAGCAGUAGGGAAUCUUCGGCAAUGGACGGAAGUCUGACCGAGCAACGCCGCGUGAGUGAGGAAGGUUUUCGGAUCGUAAAGCUCUGUUGCCAGGGAAGAGGAGACGGGAUAGGAAAUGAUCCCGUAGAGACGGUACCUGAGAAGAAAGCCCCGGCUAACUACGUGCCAGCAGCCGCGGUAAUACGUAGGGGGCAAGCGUUGUCCGGAAUUAUUGGGCGUAAAGGGCGCGCAGGCGGUCGAAGAAGUCUCGUGGUUAAGACAUCGGCUCAACCGGUGUUGUCAAGGGAAACUGAACGACUAGAGUGCAGGAGAGGAAAGUGGAAUUCCACGUGUAGCGGUGAAAUGCGUAGAUAUGUGGAGGAACACCAGUGGCGAAGGCGACUUUCUGGACUGUCACUGACGCUGAGGCGCGAAAGCGUGGGGAGCAAACAGGAUUAGAUACCCUUGUAGUC
RNAcentral lists this ribosomal RNA (464 nucleotides) under uncultured Bacillota bacterium. Its description in RNAcentral is "bacterial SSU rRNA". It matches the Rfam family "Bacterial small subunit ribosomal RNA", at positions 338 to 795 of the family's 1533-position model. Lineage: Bacteria; Bacillati; Bacillota. The record is from RNAcentral.